GACGAACGCUGGCGGCGUGCUUAACACAUGCAAGUCGAACGGAAAGGCCCUGCUUUUGUGGGGUGCUCGAGUGGCGAACGGGUGGGUAACACGUGAUUAACCUGCCCUUGACUUUGGGAUAACUUCAGGUAACUGGGGCUACUACCGGAUAGGAGCUCCUGCUGCAUGGUGGGGGUUGGAAAGUUUCGGCGGUUGGGGAUGGACUCGCGGCUUAUCAGCUUGUUGGUGGGGUAGUGGCUUACCAAGGCUUUGACGGGUAGCCGGCCUGAGAGGGUGACCGGCCACAUUGGGACUGAGAUACGGCACAGACUCCUACGGGAGGGAGCAGUGGGGAAUAUUGCACAAUGGGCGGAAGCCUGAUGCAGUAAAGCCGCGUGCGGGAUGACGGCCUUCGGGCUGUAAACCGCUUUCGCCUGUGACGAAGCGUGAGUGACGGUAAUGGGUAAAGAAGCACCGGCUAACUACGUG
RNAcentral lists this ribosomal RNA (468 nucleotides) under uncultured bacterium. Its description in RNAcentral is "partial 16S ribosomal RNA". It matches the Rfam family "Bacterial small subunit ribosomal RNA", at positions 28 to 507 of the family's 1533-position model. The record is from RNAcentral.